CGUAGACGAUAACCGAGCAUGAACACCGUCGUUGUGAGUGGAAUAUACAAAACCUAUUUUCAUAGUUAUAUGAUAGUAAAGCAUGUUUGCGAAAUAAGUAUUUUAAAUGUUCUGAUUUAAUGAUUCCCUCGAAAUGGAUUUUAUUCACGUAUUGGUAUUUUAUUAAAAUGUUUGGUUAAUGAUUCUGCGUAUCGACUUUGAAUAAAGUAUGAUAGUAUUUUAAAGACAAGAAAAGUGGAUUCAAAUGUGGUAUAAUUUAAAGUAUGGUUAAAAGGUAUGUGAAUAUGAGUAUAGUGAUUGUUUUUUAAAUCAUUAGACAGUACCCUUUCCUCCAGAUACAGUGAUACAUAUGAGAUGAGAGGCCUUCGGGACCCGUCUGAACACACAUAAAGGCUUUGGGCUGUGUAUCUGGGCGAUUUUGCCUUUUGGGGGCAUAUGCAUGUGGUAUGAUGAUUACAGAGAUACAGACAGAUAUUGAGAUACAGAUGAUACAUAUGAGAUGCAGGCCUUUGGGGCCCGUAUGAGUACACACAGAGGUUUUGGGUCGUGUGCUUGAGCGCUUUUGUCCUUUGGGGACUAGAUUAUGCAUGCACAUAUUUGAUGAGAUAUGAUAAGAUAUGAAACGGUAUUUCCCUAUCUAUCCGUGUAGCUCCGGGGCGUGAUGGUACCCAGAUAGUACGUCAUUGCCCAUCCGUUGAGGUCCGGAUAUGAUGAGAUUAUUUCCCCGGCUACUUGUUUAGUGAUGAUUUUCAGUCUUGUGUAUUCUAUAUGAUAUUGUGAUAUGAUUUCCAUGAUUAUUACGUAUGAUCGUUAUAUAUGUUUUUCAUGGUUAGUAAUCUGGUUUAAGUGUUAAAUGAUUUAUUACUGGUUUCUCGCUUAUGGUUUGAUGAAAUCGUGUUUGAAAAUGAUAUGAUUAUUUCUUUUAAAGUAAGAAUUAAUUUUUAAAAACUACUAUCCACUCACUGAUCUCACUGAGUUUUAAACUCACCUCGUUUUUAUUAUAUUUUCCCCCCCACCAGGAGGUUGCAGGUACACCAGACCGACCCAGCGACUGUAAAUAUAUUUUGAGUCUUGGCCUCGUGAUGGUGUUAGAAGAUAUAAAUGUUUUCGUUAGGACAUCUUGAUCAUCUUGUUCUUUUGGGAUUGUAUAAUUUUGUUAUAUUAUUCUUUCGGGAUUAAGAAUAAACUGAGAUAUUAAUAUUAGUUAUAAUAUUAUCUUUUCAGAUUCUGGAGAUAUAAAACUAAGCAUUUUGGUUGAGGAUGUUAUUACUGGAGUUUGUUGUAUAUUGAAUUAUAUUGGGAGUGUUAUAUUCAUAUUUGUAGAUUGGGAGUGUUAUAUAUAUAAAGGAGACUCUGCCGAAUUUUCGGCAGAAUCCUUACUAAUUAGAUUAUUAUCAAGUUCGUUUUGAUGAGACUAGAUUGACUUGCCUAGGGGGGAUUCGGGGCGGGUCGUUUCAGUUGGUAUCAGAGCAUGGUUUUAGAUUCUGUAGACUUUACUAUCUUAAUAAGAAUAAGUUUUAUCUUUAUUAAAGUUAGAAUUUAUAUCUUGUAUGCACCAUCAUGCUUCGUCGUAGCAGUAGACGUGGUCGUGGCCGUACUAGGCCAAUAGCUGAGUUGACUUCUGGUAGUGUACCUACGGGGAAAGUGAACCCGCGAAUGAGGGGGUAGUUGAAUCCUCCACGCAUGAAAUCGCACAACAGUCACUGAGGAAUGCCCUAAAUAUCGAGCACUCAUUUGAUAAGUUGGCUUAGAUCAUGGCUACAGUUGUGCAAAAUCAGACUCAAGCGCAUGUCAGUAACACAAACACUAUUGAGUGAGUGAGGAGUUUAGGGGCGAGGACCUUUAAUGGUUCUGGAGAACUACCUGAGGCUGAGUCAUGGUUUGUUAAGUUAGAGCAAAGUUUUGACGUGAUGAAGUGUUCGGAGGAUGACAGACUAUUCGUCGCCACUUUCCUGCUCGAGGAUAAAGCUUACCAUUGGUGGCAGAUAGUGGAGAGACGAUAUCAGGGGCAUGCUGCGAUUACUUGGGCUAUUUUCCAUAAGGAAUUCUAUGAUCAUUAUUUUCCUGUUGUAUAUCAGGAUAUUAAACGGAGUGAAUUCUUUCGGUUAGUUCAGGGAUCUCUGACAGUUGAGGAGUAUGAGAAGAAAUUUUUAGACCUCUCUAGAUUUGCUACAUCUGUAGUCGGUGAUGAGAGAGAGAGAUGCAGACGGUUUGAGGAUGGCCUCCGAUUUGAGAUUCGCACCACCGUGACUGCAUCGCGAUAUACUGAGUUUGGAGAGGUAGUUGAGGCAGCUAGGAGAGUAGAGCACAGUAUUUUGUAAGGACGUGGAGUUCAUGCACUGAAGCAGAAAGCGUAGCCAGAGCUGGGCAGAGGGUGGCUCUAGUAGUAGGCAGCCCAAGAGAGGGGGUAUUCCUACAUGUUAUUCUGAUAGUACGCAAAGGAGUCAGGGUACAAGCUUCAGAGGAGACGCGAGACAGACUAUCAGUCAUAGCCCAGUGCAACCAUCAGUAGGGAGUAAUACCAGGAAUUAGGGACAGUACGACCGCAGUGGUGGGGGAUAUCGUGAUGAUCGUUCUAGGAGUGUCCAGCAGACUUCUUGCCCUUCAUGUGGUAGGAAUCAUCAGGGCCAGUGUCGCGUUGGAGACAGAGUUUGUUAUUUGUGUGGUCAGCCUGAACACAUCAGGAGAUUCUGCCCUACUUUAUCUCAGGGUGAUAGCUCUGUACGAGGGACAGCCUCACGGUAUCGGCCUUACUUUGGCCAGGCUCAGGGUCAGAGAGGAGUGUAGACAAAAGUUUCUACAUCUACCUUUAGGAGUCAGACGACUGCUCCAGGUCAGAGAGGGCAGCCUGGUCGACCUCAUACUCAGGCUCGAGUUUUUGCUUUGACGCAAUAGGAGGCACGUGUUGCACUAGAAGUUAUUAUGGGUAUAUUAUCUAUCAUUGGCCGCGAGGCUCAUAUUCUUAUUGAUCUUGGAUCCACACACUCUUUCGUUUCCCAUACUUUUACUAUGCACAUAGGGCGAGAGCCCGAACUGUUAGAUUAUGGUUUAGUUGUUCGUACACCUACUGGAGAAUCAUUACUUGCUGAGAGUGUGUAUCAAGAUUGUAUGAUUGGAAUAGGUGAACAUGAAUUUGAGGUGAAUUUGAUUUCCUUAGGCAUUUAUGACUUUGAUGUUAUUUUGGGCAUGGAUUGGCUUGAAUUUCAUUAUGCUACGGUGGAUUGUUUCAAAAAGGAAGUUUGUUUAAAAAGCCAGGGAAAACUGAAGUGAAAUUCUGUGGGGAGCACAAAGUUCUACCUUCAUGUGUUAUAUCUUCCAUUAGUGCAAGACGGUUGCUAAGAAAAGAAUGCUCAUCUUAUUUAGCUCAUGUGAUAGAUACAGAAGCUCGAGAAUUGAGAUUGGAGGAUAAUGCAGUAGUCAAAGAAUUUCCAAAUGUAUUUCCAGACGAACUUCGUAGGAUGCCACCUAAUAGGAAAGUUGAGUUUUCUAUUGACUUAGUCCCUGGAACAUCUCCUAUAUCUAUGGCACCAUACAGGAUGGCUCCAGCAGAGUUGCAGGAACUGAAGGUUCAAUUGCAAGAGUUGGUGGAGAAAGGGUUUAUUAGACCUAGUGUGUCCCCGUGGGGAGCUCCAGUCUUGUUUGUUAAGAAAAAUGAUGGGACUUUUAGACUCUGCAUUAACUACAGGCAGUUGAACAAAGUUACGGUACGCAAUAAGUAUCCAUUUCCAUGCAUUGAUGACUUGUUUGAUCAACUCCAUGAGGCGAAAGUAUUUUCUAAGAUCAAUUUGCACUCAGGUUACCAUCAGCUUAGAAUUAAAGACGUCGAUGUUCCGAAAACGGCAUUUAGAACCCGUUAUGGACACUAUGAGUUCUUAGUGAUGCCAUUUGGGUUGACAAAUGCUCCAGCUGCUUUUAUAGACCUUAUGAAUAGGGUAUUUCGCCCUUAUCUAGAUCGAUUUGUGAUUGUAUUCAUUGAUGAUAUAUUGGUGUAUUCCCAAAGUGAGGAGGUGCAUGCAGAGCAUUUGUGGACUAUUUUACAGACUUUGAAGCAGAAGCAGUUGUAUGCCAAGUUCAGCAAGUACGAGUUCUGGUUGGACAUAGUAGUAUUUUUGGGCCAUCUGAUAUUAGCAUAAGGUAUUUAUGUUGAUCCUCAAAGGAUUGAAGCAGUUGUGAAAUGGGAACGACCUACAAAUGUCACAGAGGUUCAGAGUUUUCUUGGAUUGGCUGGUUAUUAUCGUAGAUUUGUGGAGGGAUUCUCCAAGAUUGCUACUCAUCUGACACAGUUAACCAGAAAGAAUGCUAAGUUUAAGUGAGAUGAUGAUUGUGAAAAGAGUUUUCAAGAACUUAAGACAUGUUUGACCUCAGCACCAGUUCUUACACUUCCAUCUGGUAAUGAAGGAUUUGUGGUAUACAACGAUGCCUCUAGGCAGAGAUUAAGUUGUGUGUUAAUGUAGCAUGGGAAAGUGGUGGCUUAUGCUUCUAGACAACUUAAGAAACAUGAACAAAACUACCCAACACAUGACCUAGAACUAGCAGCAGCGGUGUUUGCACUCAAGACAUGGAGGCAUUACUUAUAUGGGACAACGUGUCAGAUUUUCACUGAUCAUAAGAGCCUGAAGUAUUUGUUUACUCAGAAGAAGUUGAAUUUGAGACAGAGGAGAUGGAUUGAGUUAAUUAAGGAUUACGAUUGCACUAUCGAUUAUCAUCCGGGUAAAGCAAAUGUGGUAGCUGAUGCACUAAGUAGAAAGUCGUCCAGCUCUCUAGCUCACUUGCGAGUGAAAUAUGUGCCUCUGUUGAUCGAGUUGAGAUCUUUGGGAGUCAAGUUGAACGCUGACAAUUGUGGAGCUUUGAUAGCUAAUUUUCAAGUUAGGCCGACUUUGAUUGACAAAGUUCACCAUAUGCAAGCUCAGGACCCACAGUUAAUGAAGUUUAAAUAGGAUGUGCAGAAAGGUUUACGAACCGAUUUUAUGGUGAGAGAUGAUGGAAUCUUAGUAAUGGGUAAUAGACUAUGUGUACCUGAUAUUAAGAAUCUGAAAGAAGAAAUUAUGGAAUAAGCUCACUAUUCAGCAUAUGUGAUGCAUCCUGGUAGUACGAAGAUGUAUCGCACCCUGAGGGAUCAUUAUUGGUGGCAGGGCAUGAAGAGAGAGAUAGUAGAAUUUGUUUCUCAAUGUUUAGUUUGUCAGCAGAUUAAGGCUGAACACCAGAGGCCUGCAGGGUGUUCUUAACCGCUUCCUAUUCCUGAGUGGAAGUGGGAGCACAUCACUAUGGAUUUUGUAGCAGGACUUCCACGUACUCAGAAAGGACAUGAUAGUGUUUGGGUGGUUGUUGAUCGAUUUACAAAAUCUGCUCACUUCUUACCAUUCAAAACCACAUAUUCGAUGGACAAGUUAGGGAGUAUUUAUGUGGCUAAGAUAGUUCGACUUCACGGAGUACCCGUGUCCAUAGUUUCAGAUAAAGAUUCCCAGUUUACUUCUAAGUUCUGGACCAGUUUGUAAAAUGCUUUAGGCACCAAGUUGAAUUUUAGUACAACUUUUCAUCCACAAACUGAUGGACAGUCAGAGCGUAUUAUUCAAACUCUGGAGGAUAUGUUGUGAGCUUGUGUUAUGGAGUUUAAAGGUAAUUGGGACAAUCAUUUACCUCUGAUGGAGUUUGCUUACAACAACAGCUAUCAAGCUAGUAUCGAGAUGGCACCAUAUGAGGCUUUAUAUGGUAGGAAAUACAGGACUCCAGUAUGUUGGGAUGAGGUUGGUGAGCGGAGGUUAUUCGGUCCAGAACUAGUCCAGGAUACUAACGAGUGAAAUACAAGUGUGCAACCCAAGAGGGGGGUGAAUUGGUAUUCUAAAAAUUAUUUGAUUCUAAAACAAAUUAUCAUGCAAAUCUAAAAUGAAUUUAAUGGAAUAACAAUUAAAUUAAUUACAAUAUAAAAAUAUAAGGGAAGAGAGAUUCAAACACGAAGAUUUUUACGUGGUUCGGCCAACCUCGCCUACGUCCACGCCUCCAAGCUUUCCGGGCUUGAGGAUUUCACUAAGCAAGCCUCCAAGGCUUCAAAUGCUUACACUUGACUUCCAAGGUGUCAAUGAACCUUUACAACAAGAGAUUAUCCUCAAUUGUUUAACCUAAGUGUAUCCCAACACUUACAAUCACUCAAAGUAAAAGAUUAAAAAUUAUUUUUCUCUCACACAAUAUUUAAGAUUACAAAUCAAUGCCCAAUGUGUGAAUAGAUGAAGUAAGAAUGUAUUUUAAAGCUCUAUGAAGAUUGUAUUCUCGAAUAUAAGCUCAAUGGUCGUGUUGUGAUCAAUCUUGUUUGAAUUUGAAUGAGCUUAUUUAUAGUUGGAGCUGAAAACUAGUCGUUAUUGACUUUCUGCUCAUUGUCGGAUCGCCGUUAACUAUAUGUCGGAUCCGUUUGACUGGUCAAUAUGACCGUUGGGCUGAAUUUUCAAAUUGUCGGAUCGCCGUUAUCUAUAUGUCGGAUCGCCGUUAGUGUCCAGAGACUAAUCUUCAAUUCUGUUCGAUGUCGGCGAGCUGUUAUCAAGAUGUCGGAUCGCCAUUUUCUACAGUAACUGCUACAGUGAACUAUUUUUACAAAAUUAUAGUUUGACCCUAAAACUUUGUAAAAUUAUAUUAUGACCCAAAACUUUAUAAAACUUGUCAAUUAGGUCCAUUUUCAGGAUUUUAAGCAAUACUUGUUAUUAUCAAAAAUCUCAAAGCUUUUUCAAUUGAAACCUUUAACAUGAGAAUAACUAAAAAUAUUUUCAUAGAAUAUAAGGCCUUUAUAAAGUGAGAAUGAUGAUUUAAAAGUAUAUGAAAAUUAUUUUGAGCUUUUAAAAUAUUAAUCAAUCUUAAUCAAGUUUGUUAUCAUCAAAAUCAAUAAUAAAGAAAUAUUUAUGUUAACAACGAGAAGAUACAAUUGAUCCGAGAUAGAUUAAAGGUGGCCCAAGAUAGACAGAAGAGUUAUGCAGACAAGCGUAGCCGGGAACUUGAAUUCGAAGUUGGUGAUAGAGUUUUCAUACGGAUAUCUCCUUGAAAAGGGGUGCUUCGAUUUGGGAAACGUUGGAAGAUAAGUCCACGUUACAUUGGGCCAUAUGAGAUCAUCAAGCGUAUCGGUCCGUUAGCUUAUCGAUUAGCUCUACCACCCAAGUUAUCCAGAAUCCACGAUGUGUUUCAUGUCUCAAUGCUCCGGAAGUACAUAUAUUACCCGAGUCAUGUGUUAUCGAAGCAACCAAUUCAGUUGAAGGAAGAUUUGACUUACGAAGAGGAACCAGUGGAGAUACUGGAAGAGAAACACCAAGUUCUGCGUUCUAAGACCAUUCCUCUAGUAAAAGUACGGUGGAGGAAUCAUAUAAAGGAAGAGGUUACCUGGGAAUGCGAGGAUUUAAUGUGAGCUCAAUAUCCCUAUCUUUUCUUAUCAGGUACGUAAAUUUCGAGGACGAAAUUUUUAUAAGGGAGGAGGAUUGUAACAUAUGUGAAUUAAAAAUGAAAUUGAGGGGGUUAAGGACUUUAUUAAAAAGAAUAGAAUAAGCUAGAAACAGGGAACAUAUACCACACGUGUGAGAGUAACAUAAGCUAUCAACAGACCCGAAAACCCGACCCAGAACCCGCGAACGUGACCCGGCCAUAUCUCUCAUUUUCGGCCACCGUUUCGGCCGAGCUUGGUACCAAUCUGAAGCUUAGAAGCCGGUCGUCGUUCCCCUGCCAUCCUCGUCACCGCAAACCAACCGGAAUGCCGGCGAUUGAAGAUUGAAAACCCACGACUGCUUCGCUUUGUUUCGCCGGGAUUUUCACCGAAUUUAGGUGACACCACCGGUUGGAUUUUGUUCCUCAUGACUCCCUCUUCCAUUUCCGACCAUCCACCACCCCCAGGGACAUCAUUUUGCCGUUGAUCGGCCGUUGAAGGACUUACGGCUUUGGGAACUCGAUCCGGAGCCAUCGCCGCGUGUGGGAGGUCAACACCGCCACCGUUGGACUCAGUGUGGCCAGAAUUUUCAGACCCGUGCUUCCCGGUCAGCGUUGACCAAAUUUCGGUGACUAGUGACUGUUGACCGACAAGGGCAUUUGGGUAAUUUCACACUAUGAGGGCAAUUUUAUAAUUUUUGAGCCUAUGGAUAUUUUAGUAAUUCCUGGAAUUGAGGAUUGGGUGUAAUUAUGAUUCCGAGGGUAAUUCGGUGAUUUACGAUUUCGGAGUAUUUUAAUGAUUUACGGACUCGAGGGCAUUUUAGUAGUUUUACCGACACGAGAGUUGUAAAUUAUGGAUAGAUGUUCGUUUCGAGUUUAUUACAUAAAUUUAGUCGUAAUUCCGAUUUACGAAAAAUAAUUGUGUCGUUUCCUUUAUUUAGGAGGAUCCGCGAGCGAGAACUGGUCCGCGGACAUGGACGAUAACCGAGCAUGAACACCGUCACUAUGAGUGGAAUAUACAAAACCUAUUUUCAUAGUUAUAUGAUAGUAAAGCAUGUUUGCGAAAUAAGUAUUUUAAAUGUUCUGAUUUAAUGAUUCCCUCGAAAUGGAUUUUAUUCAUGUAUUGGUAUUUUAUUAAAAUGUUUGGUUAAUGAUUCUGCGUAUCGACUUUGAAUAAAGUAUGAUAGUAUUUUAAAGACAAGAAAAGUGGAUUUAAAUGUGGUAUGAUUUAAAGUAUGGUUAAAAGGUAUGUGAAUAUGAGUAUAGUGAUUGUUUUUUAAAUCAUUAGACAGUACCCUUUCCUCCAGAUACAGUGAUACAGAUGAGAUGAGAGGCCUUCGGGACCCGUCUGAACACACAUAAAGGCUUUGGGCUGUGUAUUUGGGCGAUUUUGCCUUUUGGGGGCAUAUGCAUGUGGUAUGAUGAUUACAGAGAUACAGACAGAUAUUGAGAUACAGAUGAUACAGAUGAGAUGCAGGCCUUUGGGGCCCGUCUGAGUACACACAGAGGCUUUGGGCCAUGUGCUUGAGCGCUUUUGUUCUUUGGGGACUAGAUUAUGCAUGCACAGAUUUGAUGAGAUAUGAUGAGAUAUGAGAUGGUAUUUCCCUGUCUAUCCGUGUAGCUCCGGGGCGUGACAGUACCCAGAUAGUACAUCAUUGCCCGUCUGUUGAGGUCCAGAUAUGAUGAGAUUAUUUCCCCAGGUACUUGUUUAGUGAUGAUUUUCAGUCUUGUGUAUUCUAUAUGAUAUUGUGAUAUGAUUUCCAUGAUUAUUACGUAUGAUCGUUAUAUAUGCUUUUCAUGGUUAGUAAUCUGGUUUAAAUGUUAAAUGAUUUAUUACUGGUUUCUCGC
RNAcentral lists this long non-coding RNA (9240 nucleotides) under Citrus maxima (pomelo). RNAcentral's name for it is "long non-coding RNA (CMAX_LNC001267)". Lineage: Eukaryota; Viridiplantae; Streptophyta; Magnoliopsida; Sapindales; Rutaceae. The record is from RNAcentral.